GCACUCGAUUAGAAUGAGGGAGGAGGAUGGAAAUGCAGGUUAGAAAUCCUCAAACGGUGUUGUAAUUGCGAGCGGAUGCUAGAAGCAAGGGAGUCAAGCAAGCUAUUUGAUGUGAUGUUCCGUCGCUUGUGAGAAUUUAGAUGUUAGGAUUCGGUGGUUGGCCAGUCCAUUUCUGAAUUCACGCGCGCCUAACGCUAGACGCACCCGAGGGUUCUGCUCUGCAUUGAAAGGGGGAAAUGAAUUAUGGUUCUAUUGUGCAAGUCUCUCAAUACGUUCUCUACCUUUCGCAUAUGAAAUUGAUUUACAUCCGAGUAUGUGAGCCUUUCUUUGCUCAAUGUAUCAAGGAGGUUGCUUGUUUCAUAAUAAUUGUUUAGGCG
This 377-nucleotide small RNA is filed under the name Histoplasma capsulatum. RNAcentral describes it as "hypothetical RNA". RNAcentral also lists the same sequence under 1 other name. The record is from RNAcentral. Lineage: Eukaryota; Fungi; Ascomycota; Eurotiomycetes; Onygenales; Ajellomycetaceae.